This 71-nucleotide transfer RNA is filed under the name Gasteruption tournieri. Its description in RNAcentral is "tRNA-Phe". Lineage: Eukaryota; Metazoa; Arthropoda; Insecta; Hymenoptera; Gasteruptiidae. The record is from RNAcentral.
AUUUAAAUAGCUUAAAAAUUAAAGAGUGUGAUAUUGAAGAUAUUAAGGUAAUUAUAUAUAAUUUUUGAAUA